This is a non-coding RNA of Acanthosepion pharaonis, 114 nucleotides long. Lineage: Eukaryota; Metazoa; Mollusca; Cephalopoda; Sepiida; Sepiidae. The record is from the annotation of a GenBank genome assembly.
UUACGGUCAGAUCACGUUGAAACACCGUUUCCAGUACGAUCACUGAAGUUAAGUAUCGUUAAACUUGGUCAGUACCUAGAUGGGUGUCCGGUUGGAAAUACCAGGUGUUGUAAG